GUGGGGAAUCUUGCACAAUGGGGGAAACCCUGAUGCAGCGACGCCGCGUGAGCGAUGAAGCCCUUCGGGGUGUAAAGCUCUUUCGGCAGGAACGAUUAUGACGGUACCUGCGGAAGAAGCUGCGGCUAACUACGUGCCAGCAGCCGCGGUAAUACGUAGGCAGCAAGCGUUGUUCGGAGUUACUGGGCGUAAAGGGUGUGUAGGCGGUGUCCUAAGUUCGGUGUGAAAUCUCCCGGCUCAACUGGGAGGGUGCGCCGAAAACUGGGAUGCUCGAGCGCGGGAGAGGAAAGUGGAAUUCCUGGUGUAGCGGUGAAAUGCGUAGAUAUCAGGAGGAACACCGGUGGUGAAGACGGCUUUCUGGACCGCCGCUGACGCUGAAACACGAAAGCGUGGGGAGCAAACAGGAUUAGAAACCCGAGUAGUCC
Molecule: ribosomal RNA, 425 nt
Filed under: uncultured bacterium
Lineage: Bacteria
Description: bacterial SSU rRNA
Rfam family: Bacterial small subunit ribosomal RNA
Source: RNAcentral